CCCUCCCUCUAAAAGAAAACCCUUAACCUUCUCCCUAUGGUAUCACAAUAUAACUUAUCAGAGUUAUCAAGUUGCCUGAGAAACUGCUCGUCGCCUACGAGAAAUACGAUCUUCACUUGCGAUUGACAAAUAAUCUAAGGAUCUUACAGUUUCCUUCUCCUUCUGAUCAGGCGGUAAAGAUAAUAUUCCAGCAAAGACAAUGAGGCAACCAAUGGAAGGAUUUGCUUCUUGGCACGACAACCUGGACGGCAGGCGAUUGAUGCAAACGAUUGCUGCCGUGCCGUGGCCAGACCUUCUUCGACUGUGCCUGUAUACAGAUCUGAGCCUCUAUUCAAUUGUUUUCACCACCUUGGUAUUGUUAUUGUUCCAUUAAGACCCUCUAUUUACACUGUCAGAACUCAUGCCACCAAGAUUUUUUUCUCAACUCUACUUAACUUUGAAGUAUUGUUAUUAUAAUUAUUGGUUUCUUGAACGUGAAAUGAUGUGUUUGCACAUGUUUUCUUGUUUCAAGAAUAUGCCAAUAGAUAUGGUUAUCCGUACCUAUAUUACAUGUGAACAUAAAAGUAGGUAAAUGCAGUUAUAUCUAUUUUUAGCACUCGAAACUAUUUUUAGAAUAUUCCAAUGUUGUUAAUGGUUAUGUCUUUUAUUCGUGAUUUCUAGUCUUACAGUUACUCAUAAAAUUGAGGAUUUACUUGUACCCCCUGAAAUUGCAAAAUGGCAGCUGUCACUUAAACUUAUCAAUUAGAUUUUGAAGGAAAUGUUUCCUUUUUGUGCUGAAUUGUAGUAACAGAAAGUUAAGCCUCAAUGUUGUAUGAUAGAACAUUCUUCUUUGACUUACUCACAACAUAAACAAUAUUGUUUUAAUAAGUCUUGGUUUAUAAACAUGCUCAAAUUGAGAAGAUUGAGUAGUUACGGUUUAUCUAAUUAGUUUGAUGGAGUUUAAAAACCAAUCAAGUCCUUAAUUCAAUAUAAGUCAUGUUCGAAAAAAAUCAGCUAGCAAAUCUUGACUUCAAGACUUUGCUUUUAUGAAAUUCAAUCUCGUCUUUAGGGAGUAUGUGUUAUACUUACUAAAUUUCCUGAUACGCUUUUUCUUAUUUACUUUAUUUGAUUCUUAUGUCACUAAUGUUUUUUUAAUUAUGACUUGAUUGUCCAGAUGCUAUCCUUAGUAUUAAAUGUGUUAAAAGGCCUCAUGUCACCCACUAGUCAAUCUACGCGCUUUAAUUGGUUUUUAUUUUGACUUCACAUGAAGUGGCCACAUCUCUAAGGAGGUGCAUAUUUCUACUAACCAAUCUUUCUUCCUUUGCGAGAUGUUUCUAUCUAUGGAGUUUGAUUGAAGACGUUGCCUUUAAUUGAUAUGAAGCAAUUUUGUGUCUUAAACAAGGUAUUAUCAACAACAUUUUAUUUCCAACAUAGCAGCAGCGUAGCACGUCUACGACGUGACCCUCUCUUCCUCUUGUUGUUGAUUUGGGAAUUGUUGAAAGUUGAAGCAAGCUGGAUUAAAUAUUGUUCUAUGCAAUUUGAGAUAUACAUCGUAGAGCAGAUACGGGUUGAGGUCUAGAGCCGUUGAGCUAUGACCAGGUACAGACGCUCGUUUUGGAGAUCCGCCAACCUAGGAUAUCUAUCCAGCUACUUUGGGAAGCUCCUUUGUUCCGGAGCCUAGCUUGUGGUAUAAAUCCCUUUUGUUGUGUAUAUAUGUAUUUGUUCGGGGUACGGCGGGGACCUGUCCCGUCAUAUGACACUGUCAUUACUCUUAGAGGUCUGCGGACAUUUGUGUGGGUCUGUAUAUAGUUGUUGUUUCGUCGUAUGGAUAUGACUUAUGUUUGGGGCAUACCCAUUCGUAGUGGCAGCCUUGUCGGCUUGUAUAUAUAUAUAUAUAUAUAUAUAUAUAUAUAUAUAUAUGUUUGGGAUGUUGCGUGUAGUGGCAGCCUUGUCGGCUUGCGUAGAUAUAUAUAUGUUUGUUGUUGGAAAUUGUAACUCCUCGGGAGACAGGUGGCUAUGACAUGCAUAUAUGUGAUAGCUUUAAAAUAACGUCUUGCCUUGUUAUACAAAUAGGUUCUCGAUAUGCUAGCUGUAGAUGAUUAUAGUUAA
Lycium barbarum (goji berry) is the source of this 2088-nucleotide long non-coding RNA. RefSeq lists it as uncharacterized. The transcript is spliced from 5 exons. Lineage: Eukaryota; Viridiplantae; Streptophyta; Magnoliopsida; Solanales; Solanaceae. The record is from RefSeq and is a predicted model, not a curated record.